CUCCAAGCCCUCCUCAGUCCUCAUUCCCUCCUAACUGACGCAACCUCCUAGAUUGGUGCGGCAGAGACGAGGGGCGACGACCCGAUGACUGUGCGAGCGCCGUCGCAUCAGGUCAUUGGCGCGCCAUCUGCCCAGGUCUUCGUCGGGCCCUUCUCCAUCGACAGGCACCCACCAGAUUGGAGAUGGCUUAGCGCAAUUCGUGUUCUCACAUUAAAAACUGAGCAGUUCUACAAAACUAUGAUAGCAGGAUGUGCUCAGGCACUGGACCUGGACAAUUAGAUUGUAUUUAGACUGUGGAUUGUGUAACCAUGGCGGUGGAAAAUUGGAUGAUAAAGCUUGAAUGUGAUGGGGCAGCAGAAGGAGAGAAACAUGUGCAGAUAGAAAUGGAUAGAGAUGAGAUAUGCUACUACAGCUUAUUGAUUUGAUCGAACAUCAUGGGUACAGUGCUGUCGACUAUCUAUUCUACAAGAAAAAAGAUAGCUUGGUUUUACUAGAACAAGAUGCUGAAGUGAUGGACAUGCUUAAUGAGUGUGAGAGCAAAAAGAUGGUUAGCUUGUUUGUGACAAAGCAGAGACUAGCCACUUUAGUCCCUACCAAGUCCAACAAAAAACCAUCCAAAUCUAAACCGAAUAAAA
Molecule: long non-coding RNA, 635 nt
Organism: Sorghum bicolor (sorghum)
Lineage: Eukaryota; Viridiplantae; Streptophyta; Magnoliopsida; Poales; Poaceae
Exons: 3
Source: RefSeq, a predicted model, not a curated record